UUAAGCGACUAAGCGUACACGGUGGAUGCCCUGGCAGUCAGAGGCGAUGAAGGACGUGCUAAUCUGCGAAAAGCGUCGGUAAGGUGAUAUGAACCGUUAUAACCGGCGAUGUCCGAAUGGGGAAACCCAGUGUGAUUCGUCACACUAUCGUUAACUGAAUACAUAGGUUAACGAGGCGAACCGGGGGAACUGAAACAUCUAAGUACCCCGAGGAAAAGAAAUCAACCGAGAUUCCCCCAGUAGCGGCGAGCGAACGGGGAGCAGCCCAGAGUCUGAAUCAGCUUGUGUGUUAGUGGAACGGUCUGGAAAGUCCGACGGUACAGGGUGAUAGUCCCGUACACCAAAAUGCACAGGCUGUGAACUCAAAGAGUAGGGCGGGACACGUGGUAUCCUGUCUGAAUAUGGGGGGACCAUCCUCCAAGGCUAAAUACUCCUGACUGACCGAUAGUGAACCAGUACCGUGAGGGAAAGGCGAAAAGAACCCCGGCGAGGGGAGUGAAAAAGAACCUGAAACCGUGUACGUACAAGCAGUGGGAGCACCUUCGGGUGUGACUGCGUACCUUUUGUAUAAUGGGUCAGCGACUUAUAUUCUGUAGCAAGGUUAACCGUAUAGGGGAGCCGCAGGGAAACCGAGUCUUAACUGGGCGUUAAGUUGCAGGGUAUAGACCCGAAACCCGGUGAUCUAGCCAUGGGCAGGUUGAAGGUUGGGUAACACUAACUGGAGGACCGAACCGACUAAUGUUGAAAAAUUAGCGGAUGACUUGUGGCUGGGGGUGAAAGGCCAAUCAAACCGGGAGAUAGCUGGUUCUCCCCGAAAGCUAUUUAGGUAGCGCCUCGUGAAUUCAUCUUCGGGGGUAGAGCACUGUUUCGGCUAGGGGGUCAUCCCGACUUACCAACCCGAUGCAAACUACGAAUACCGAAGAAUGUUAUCACGGGAGACACACGGCGGGUGCUAACGUCCGUCGUGAAGAGGGAAACAACCCAGACCGCCAGCUAAGGUCCCAAAGUCAUGGUUAAGUGGGAAACGAUGUGGGAAGGCACAGACAGCCAGGAUGUUGGCUUAGAAGCAGCCAUCAUUUAAAGAAAGCGUAAUAGCUCACUGGUCGAGUCGGCCUGCGCGGAAGAUGUAACGGGGCUAAACCAUGCACCGAAGCUGCGGCAGCGACACUAUGUGUUGUUGGGUAGGGGAGCGUUCUGUAAGCCUGCGAAGGUGACCUGUGAGGGUUGCUGGAGGUAUCAGAAGUGCGAAUGCUGACAUAAGUAACGAUAAAGCGGGUGAAAAGCCCGCUCGCCGGAAGACCAAGGGUUCCUGUCCAACGUUAAUCGGGGCAGGGUGAGUCGACCCCUAAGGCGAGGCCGAAAGGCGUAGUCGAUGGGAAACAGGUUAAUAUUCCUGUACUUGGUGUUACUGCGAAGGGGGGACGGAGAAGGCUAUGUUAGCCGGGCGACGGUUGUCCCGGUUUAAGCAUGUAGGCUGGUUGUCCAGGCAAAUCCGGAUAAUCAAGGCUGAGGUGUGAUGACGAGGCACUACGGUGCUGAAGUAACAAAUGCCCUGCUUCCAGGAAAAGCCUCUAAGCAUCAGGUAACAUCAAAUCGUACCCCAAACCGACACAGGUGGUCAGGUAGAGAAUACCAAGGCGCUUGAGAGAACUCGGGUGAAGGAACUAGGCAAAAUGGUGCCGUAACUUCGGGAGAAGGCACGCUGGUGUGUAGGUGAAGCCCCUGCGGGUGGAGCUGAGACCAGUCGAAGAUACCAGCUGGCUGCAACUGUUUAUUAAAAACACAGCACUGUGCAAACACGAAAGUGGACGUAUACGGUGUGACGCCUGCCCGGUGCCGGAAGGUUAAUUGAUGGGGUUAUCCGUAAGGAGAAGCUCUUGAUCGAAGCCCCGGUAAACGGCGGCCGUAACUAUAACGGUCCUAAGGUAGCGAAAUUCCUUGUCGGGUAAGUUCCGACCUGCACGAAUGGCGUAAUGAUGGCCAGGCUGUCUCCACCCGAGACUCAGUGAAAUUGAACUCGCUGUGAAGAUGCAGUGUACCCGCGGCAAGACGGAAAGACCCCGUGAACCUUUACUAUAGCUUGACACUGAACAUUGAGCCUUGAUGUGUAGGAUAGGUGGGAGGCUUUGAAGCGUGGACGCCAGUCUGCGUGGAGCCAACCUUGAAAUACCACCCUUUAAUGUUUGAUGUUCUAACGUUGGCCCCUGACCGGGGUUGCGGACAGUGUCUGGUGGGUAGUUUGACUGGGGCGGUCUCCUCCCAAAGCGUAACGGAGGAGCACGAAGGUUAGCUAAUCCUGGUCGGACAUCAGGAGAUUAGUGCAAUGGCAUAAGCUAGCUUGACUGCGAGCGUGACGGCGCGAGCAGGUGCGAAAGCAGGUCAUAGUGAUCCGGUGGUUCUGAAUGGAAGGGCCAUCGCUCAACGGAUAAAAGGUACUCCGGGGAUAACAGGCUGAUACCGCCCAAGAGUUCAUAUCGACGGCGGUGUUUGGCACCUCGAUGUCGGCUCAUCACAUCCUGGGGCUGAAGUAGGUCCCAAGGGUAUGGCUGUUCGCCAUUUAAAGUGGUACGCGAGCUGGGUUUAGAACGUCGUGAGACAGUUCGGUCCCUAUCUGCCGUGGGCGCUGGAGAAUUGAGGGGGGCUGCUCCUAGUACGAGAGGACCGGAGUGGACGCAUCACUGGUGUUCGGGUUGUCAUGCCAAUGGCACUGCCCGGUAGCUAAAUGCGGAAGAGAUAAGUGCUGAAAGCAUCUAAGCACGAAACUUGCCCCGAGAUGAGUUCUCCCUGAGACUUUAAGUCUCCUGAAGGAACGUUGAAGACGACGACGUUGAUAGGCCGGGUGUGUAAGCGCAGCGAUGCGUUGAGCUAACCGGUACUAAUGAACCGUGAGGCUUAACCUU
RNAcentral lists this ribosomal RNA (2900 nucleotides) under Klebsiella pneumoniae. RNAcentral describes it as "bacterial LSU rRNA". It matches the Rfam family "Bacterial large subunit ribosomal RNA". The record is from RNAcentral. Lineage: Bacteria; Pseudomonadati; Pseudomonadota; Gammaproteobacteria; Enterobacterales; Enterobacteriaceae.